AGAGUUUGAUCAUGGCUCAGGAUGAACGCUGGCGGCGUGCUUAACACAUGCAAGUCGAACGAUGAAGCCAGCUUGCUGGUGGAUUAGUGGCGAACGGGUGAGUAACACGUGAGUAACCUGCCCUUAACUCUGGGAUAAGCCUGGGAAACUGGGUCUAAUACCGGAUAUGACUCCUCAUCGCAUGGUGGGGGGUGGAAAGCUUUUUGUGGUUUUGGAUGGACUCGCGGCCUAUCAGCUUGUUGGUGAGGUAAUGGCUUACCAAGGCGACGACGGGUAGCCGGCCUGAGAGGGUGACCGGCCACACUGGGACUGAGACACGGCCCAGACUCCUACGGGAGGCAGCAGUGGGGAAUAUUGCACAAUGGGCGCAAGCCUGAUGCAGCGACGCCGCGUGAGGGAUGACGGCCUUCGGGUUGUAAACCUCUUUCAGUAGGGAAGAAGCGAAAGUGACGGUACCUGCAGAAGAAGCGCCGGCUAACUACGUGCCAGCAGCCGCGGUAAUACGUAGGGCGCAAGCGUUAUCCGGAAUUAUUGGGCGUAAAGAGCUCGUAGGCGGUUUGUCGCGUCUGCCGUGAAAGUCCGGGGCUCAACUCCGGAUCUGCGGUGGGUACGGGCAGACUAGAGUGAUGUAGGGGAGACUGGAAUUCCUGGUGUAGCGGUGAAAUGCGCAGAUAUCAGGAGGAACACCGAUGGCGAAGGCAGGUCUCUGGGCAUUAACUGACGCUGAGGAGCGAAAGCAUGGGGAGCGAACAGGAUUAGAUACCCCCGUAGUCC
RNAcentral lists this ribosomal RNA (774 nucleotides) under uncultured bacterium. Its description in RNAcentral is "bacterial SSU rRNA". It matches the Rfam family "Bacterial small subunit ribosomal RNA", at positions 8 to 796 of the family's 1533-position model. The record is from RNAcentral.